ACGACAGUGGAACUGCAUGUGUAGCGUGAAAUGCGUAGAUAUAUGGAAGAACACCAGUGGCGAAGGCGGCUGUCUGGUCUGUAACUGACGCUGAGGCUCGAAAGUAUGGGUAGCAAACAGGAUUAGAUACCCUGGUAGUCCAUACCGUAAACGAUGAAUGCUAAGUGUUGGAGGGUUUCCGCCCUUCAGUGCUGCAGCUAACGCAUUAAGCAUUCCGCCUGGGGAGUACGGCCGCAAGGCUGAAACUCAAAGGAAUUGACGGGGGCCCGCACAAGCGGUGGAGCAUGUGGUUUAAUUCGAAGCUACGCGAAGAACCUUACCAGGUCUUGACAUACUAUGCAAAUCUAAGAGAUUAGACGUUCCCUUCGGGGACAUGGAUACAGGUGGUGCAUGGUUGUCGUCAGCUCGUGUCGUGAGAUGUUGGGUUAAGUCCCGCAACGAGCGCAACCCUUAUUAUCAGUUGCCAGCAUUAAGUUGGGCACUCUGGUGAGACUGCCGGUGACAAACCGGAGGAAGGUGGGGAUGACGUCAAAUCAUCAUGCCCCUUAUGACCUGGGCUACACACGUGCUACAAUGGAUGGUACAACGAGUUGCGAACUCGCGAGAGUAAGCUAAUCUCUUAAAGCCAUUCUCAGUUCGGAUUGUAGGCUGCAACUCGCCUACAUGAAGUCGGAAUCGCUAGUAAUCGCGGAUCAGCAUGCCGCGGUGAAUACGUUCCCGGGCCUUGUACACACCGCCCGUCACACCAUGAGAGUUUGUAACACCCAAAGUCGGUGGGGUAACCUUUUAGGAACCAGCCGCCUAAGGUGGACAGAGAUAG
Molecule: ribosomal RNA, 820 nt
Filed under: Lactiplantibacillus plantarum
Lineage: Bacteria; Bacillati; Bacillota; Bacilli; Lactobacillales; Lactobacillaceae
Description: bacterial SSU rRNA
Rfam family: Bacterial small subunit ribosomal RNA
Source: RNAcentral